CUUAUCUCUUGCAAGUGCACAAUGUCUCUCUCUCUGUGUGUGUGUGUGUGUGUGUGUGGAUUCUGGGAAAUGUAGUUCGUGACGAGGAGUGACCGUGUUAUACAUUUACUUUGGCUGCAUGUUUUUGUUUGGCUUCUGAAGUAGAGCAAAGACUUGUGUAUUAUUAUUCCCUGAUCUAAUAACCUAUUCUUUCAUUGAUAAAAGCACUGGUUUUUAUACCGAAAUGCCAUGUGUCUUUUCAAGUAUAGAUGAAAGUGAAAGUAAUUUUCCUGGCUUAAUAUAGAGCUGCUCUCAGAAGACAAGACAUUCCCUGAAAAACUUUCAGAAAAAGCUAUAGGGACAGUAAAAAUAAAUAGACAUAUUUAUUAUUUAUCAAUGGAUAAAGAGGAUCAGUUUGAAUUUAAGGCCACAGAGAUCCCUCAAAAGCCAUGCACAGACAUGCUGAAGGAGGCCUAUCUGAACCUGCUCUCUCUGCGCCUGGAAUUCCAGCGUGAACAGAGCACUCCGGAGGAAGGAGCUUUCCAAACGAAUCUGGUUAAUAAAGAGAAAGACCUCAGUCUGCUCUAUGGAGCACAAAAUGUUUGUUAUUGUACACAGCUCCAGUGCUCUGCCCUCACGCAAUAAAGAUCUGCUGGUGUAUGUAGCACACAUUAUCCUGGAGGAAGAGAAGAGGCAGGGAGAGCCAGGAGCGAUGCAGGGAUGGAGGGAAGCAUGGAGGGAUGCAGUACUAAACGGGGUUCAAGAUACACUGGAGAAAGUUCAUCUGGACAGCCAUGAGCAGAACGCUUCCUGGCUGGCAGUGCAUCUGGGGCUUCUGGGUAAAGCUGUGGAGGAGGAUUUAGAGAGAGUGAAGACUGAACAUCAGACUUUAUUGUGUUUGAAACCUAUGUGUCCUGCUAUCAUGAGGCUGUAGGAGAGCAUCUAAAGAGACUUCUGGAAAAGGUGAUAGAGUGAAAGAUUACUAUGCUCUUCUAGAGUUCAUUAUUCAUCGCUACCCCAUUGAUCUGAGAGUCCAUGAGAGUGCCCUUAUAAUGGCAGAGGACCGGAACAAAAUAAAAACUUCUUACUGUGAUUGCCAAUUGGUAAGCUACUGCAAGGAAGUAUAGUUUAGCAAAUUUAAUAUUAAAGGGGUCAUAUGAUGCGAUUUAAAUUUUUCCUUUCUCGUUGGAGUGUUACAAGCUCUUGGUGCAUAAAGAUGAUCUGUAAAGUUGCAAAGACUAAAGUCUCAAAUCCAAAGAGAUAUUCUUUAUAAAAGUUAAGAGUCAACCACUCCCUCCUAAAAUGCCUCAUUUAAACAUGCCCCCACAUGUCUACGUCACGAUGUGGGAAGAUUUGCAUAACAAAAGAAGAUUUGCAUAACAAAAAAACCCAAUACUAAGAUGCUGCCAUAAAAAUGAGAGAACAGUGGAAUGAACUUAAAAAACUAUUUGUGGCUAUAGUAAGAUACAGUCUAGUAUCAAACAAUGUGAAAUAUACAACUGUAUUUUUCAAGGAAGAGGCAAUGAAAAUAUUCUUAUACUCAGGGACCAUCCUUAAAAUGGCUUUAUCCACUGGGAGAUUACCUUAGCAACAUUAUUGGAAUGGAAAAUGAGAAAAAUAUAAAAGAUAUGCACUGGUUAGUAAUUACCCAGACAUCAGGUAAGUGUUAUAGGAACUUUGAAUAUAUUGCUAUUUUUACAACAAUACAUGUUUUGUACACUUAACUAUUACAUGUAGUAUAGUUAUCAUGUAUUUAACUUUUCAUUUCUAGCAAGAAGCAGUUGUCAGCUGUUCUGUCCUUCAGAGACAAUGGUUUAAACUUUGAGAGUGACAAGAAGUGACAAGAAUCUGAUCACAUCACUGUACUGCCUUACUUAAGGAUACUUUAUAAAUACAUAUAUUUAUAUGUAUAUAGGCUGACAUGUAUUCUAAGUAUCUAAGUAUCACACUAUUAUGUUUACAGAGAUUCUCUUGGCCAUUCGGAUGCUUCGGGAACCAUCAGGAACUAUAAACAAUUGCAUUAUUUUAUGAGGCUACUUGUGCUAUUUGCCUCUAACCAUCCAUUAUUUUUUUAGCAAGAAUUUAACCAUUUAACUAUUAUUGUGCAGCCUUAUUUUGGUGUAUGUUUUGGUUGUUUGUACGUAUAUUUUCCAACAGAGGGAGACAUUAAACUAUAGAUGCAAAUUUCGCAUUUCCUCCAUAUUGCCUAAUCAUGCAUAAAGAGACUUGGUGGAUUCAGUCUAUCUACUGUUAUAUCAAUCAAUCAUCUAAAUGUGAAUUAUAAAACACAAUGCUGGACAAAACUGAGUGUGUGCUGUGCAAUAUUAACUCCAGGUGGACUCAGCUCUUGCAACAAAACCUAUUGGUUGGUUAUUCAUAUUUUGUCCCUCCCUCUUCUCUUGUUUAAUGCAAAUUUAAAAUUUUGCCUAAACCUAACAUUCUCUCUGAUUUUUAUCAAUGAACAAAACAUGUAGAUAAAAUUCAUUUUCACCGCUACAGUGUGUUAUUGAACAGAUAUUUACUUUUACAUACUUUCGCAAUGUUUUGGGGAUAUUUAUACAGAUAUUGAUGUGAGAUGCCAUCUUUGUUUACAUAAUCAUGUUUGAUUUUGUUUUAAUGACUUAACUAUAUGAGGUGGUGAAUUUAUUAAUGAAAUAAUUAUUAAACAUUUUACACAUUUCCACAUGCAAA
This is a long non-coding RNA of Cyprinus carpio carpio, 2670 nucleotides long. The record is from Ensembl. Lineage: Eukaryota; Metazoa; Chordata; Actinopteri; Cypriniformes; Cyprinidae.